RNAcentral lists this long non-coding RNA (202 nucleotides) under Theobroma cacao (cacao). RNAcentral describes it as "long non-coding RNA (TCAC_LNC002117)". Lineage: Eukaryota; Viridiplantae; Streptophyta; Magnoliopsida; Malvales; Malvaceae. The record is from RNAcentral.
CCUGCGGUUGGGUUUGGCCAUGGAGUGUUAGAUCAAACUGUGGGAUCUGAUCGGGAAACACUAGAUCGGGUGCUUCCCGCGACUUGAUCUGGCCGUUAAGUACCAAAUCUGGCUGGAUCUCGAUUGAAUCUUGUCGAAAAGGACUAGAUCGAUGCUUUUCAACCAUAUUCGGUGGCUGUCGUCGCCGUCAACAUCGCUUCCG